Molecule: ribosomal RNA, 292 nt
Filed under: uncultured bacterium
Lineage: Bacteria
Description: partial 16S ribosomal RNA
Rfam family: Bacterial small subunit ribosomal RNA
Source: RNAcentral
GUGUCAGCCGCCGCGGUAAUACGGAGGGUGCGAGCGUUAAUCGGAAUUACUGGGCGUAAAGGGCGCGUAGGCGGUGAAGUAAGUCGGGUGUGAAAGCCCCGGGCUCAACCUGGGAACUGCAUCCGAUACUGCUUCGCUAGAGUAUGGUAGAGGGAAGCGGAAUUCCGGGUGUAGCGGUGAAAUGCGUAGAUAUCCGGAGGAACACCAGUGGCGAAGGCGGCUUCCUGGACCAAUACUGACGCUGAGGCGCGAAAGCGUGGGGAUCAAACAGGAUUAGAAACCCUUGUAGUCC